Molecule: ribosomal RNA, 614 nt
Filed under: uncultured fungus
Lineage: Eukaryota; Fungi
Description: partial 18S ribosomal RNA
Rfam family: 5.8S ribosomal RNA (bases 185-337)
Source: RNAcentral
AUUCUUGGUCAUUUAGAGGAAGUAAAAGUCGUAACAAGGUUUCCGUAGGUGAACCUGCGGAAGGAUCAUUAGUGAUUAAUUAUUGAGUGUAGAAAACUCAUAAUCUUCUAUACAAACCACUGUUUUAAAAUGUUUACUAGAAUGUCCAAGCAGUUAAGCUGUUGAAAUAUUAAAAGUUUAAUAAAACUUUCAGCAACGGAUCUCUUGGUUCAGGCAUCGAUGAAGAACGCAGCGAAAUGCGAUAAGUAAUGUGAAUUGCAGAUACAGUGAAUCAUCGAAUCUUUGAACGCAAAUGGCACUCUAUGGUAUUCCGUAGAGUACGUCUGUUUGAGCGUCGCGAACAUCUCCAUAAUUAGUUUUUUUUUAAAUUGAUUGUGGGUUUUGAGGUUGUCAUAUAAACAAUGACUCCCUUUAAAAUAAUUAGUGAUGACCUUAUGAAUGGGUUAAUACUGUGUGUUAUAAUGGAUUACAUCCAUCACCAGUCAGAGAGUAAUCUCGCCUUAGUAAUUUGUAGUGAUUGCUUCUAACUGCCAUUGGCAAACAAACUGAUCAAAUCGACCUCAAAUCAGAUGGGAUUACCCGCUGAACUUAAGCAUAUCAAUAAGCGGAGGAAA